This 87-nucleotide transfer RNA is filed under the name Clostridiales bacterium GWF2_36_10. Its description in RNAcentral is "tRNA-Leu". It matches the Rfam family "tRNA". From Rfam's summary of the family: Transfer RNA (tRNA) molecules are approximately 80 nucleotides in length. Their secondary structure includes four short double-helical elements and three loops (D, anti-codon, and T loops). Lineage: Bacteria; Bacillati; Bacillota; Clostridia; Eubacteriales. The record is from RNAcentral. RNAcentral also lists the same sequence under 1 other name.
GCCGGUGUGAUGGAAUUGGCAGACGUGCUGGACUCAAAAUCCAGUGAUAGCAAUAUCGUGCGGGUUCGACCCCCGCCACCGGCACCA